Molecule: non-coding RNA, 97 nt
Organism: Termitomyces sp. T159_Od127
Lineage: Eukaryota; Fungi; Basidiomycota; Agaricomycetes; Agaricales; Lyophyllaceae
Source: the annotation of a GenBank genome assembly
UCCCUCUUAGCUCAGUGGUAGAGCGCGUCACUAGUAUAUGAUAGGUGGGACAUAAUUCACCAUGACGAGGUCAGUCGUUCAAGUCGGCUAGAGGGAA